AAAGUCGUAACAAGGUUUCCGUAGGUGAACCUGCGGAAGGAUCAUUAUCACGUAUCCACGUAUAAACCAAUUCGUGAACUGUUUGUUAACCUUUGGGCUAUGGCCGCUGUCAUUGACACAUAGAGCUUAUUGUAUGGUUAUGGGCUCGUCUUUGGCAAUUAAGGCUGUCUCUCCGAAGCGUAUUAAUCAUACUUUUAACAUUAACCACUUGAACACUAUGAUUUUCUUUGUUUGAACUGAUUUGUUUCUUACUCAGCGCUCCGUAACACCGAGCGCCGAGAAGAAAUCAAUUACGAAACAAAAAAGAACAACUCUUAGCAACGGAUAUCUUGGUUCUC
Molecule: unclassified non-coding RNA, 338 nt
Filed under: Basidiomycota sp.
Lineage: Eukaryota; Fungi; Basidiomycota
Description: partial contains small subunit ribosomal RNA, internal transcribed spacer 1, and 5.8S ribosomal RNA
Rfam family: Eukaryotic small subunit ribosomal RNA (bases 1-47)
Source: RNAcentral